Molecule: long non-coding RNA, 324 nt
Organism: Gordionus sp. m RMFG-2023
Lineage: Eukaryota; Metazoa; Nematomorpha; Gordioida; Chordodea; Parachordodidae
Exons: 4
Source: RefSeq, a predicted model, not a curated record
CAAAUUAAUUCUCUAUUCCUAUGAAUAGAUAUUAAUUGCUUUUGCAUUCAUUUCCGCUCGAUAACACAAUCCAGUAUGCCUGAAAAUUCAGACAAUGUGAGACAAGCUGGAUACACGGCUUGGGGUACAGUUAUCGCACAAAAUAUUACCCACGUUUUUCAGACCGAAGCUACACCCGAUGGGGUUUGGGGCGCAUUUCAUAAAUUAUAACUACCAUUUCAAGAAAUUUAAAGAUAAUAUCUUGAGAAAUUAUGGGGGAAAUGAUAUAAAAAAUUAUAUUAACGCCUAAAUUUUUAUUUAUUAUAAUUAUAGCUUAUUUAAAAU